AUAUCAAUAAGCGGAGGAAAAGAAACUAACAAGGAUUCCCCUAGUAACGGCGAGUGAAGUGGGAAAAGCUCAACUUUGAAAUCUGGCAGCUUCGCUGUCCGAGUUGUAGUCUCGAGAAGUGUUUUCCGCGCUGGACCAUGUAUGAGUCUGUUGGAAUACAGCGUCAUAGAGGGUGAGAACCCCGUUCAUGACAUGCCUUCCAGUGCUUUGUGAUACAUUUUCGAUGAGUCGAGUUGUUUGGGAAUGCAGCUCAAAAUGGGUGGUAAAUUCCAUCUAAAGCUAAAUAUUGGCGAGAGACCGAUAGCGAACAAGUACCGUGAGGGAAAGAUGAAAAGAACUUUGGAAAGAGAGUUAAACAGUACGUGAAAUUGCUGAAAGGGAAACGCUUGAAGUCAGUCGCGUUGGCCGGAAAUCAGCCUUGGUUCUCCUUGGUGUAUUUUCUGGUUGACGGGCCAGCAUCAGUUUUGACCGGUGGAAAAAGUUGUAGGGAAUGUGGCAUCUUCGGAUGUGUUAUAGCCUUGCUUCGUAUACAUCGGUUGGGACUGAGGAACUCAGCACGCCGCAAGGCCGGGGUUCGCCCACGUUCGUGCUUAGGAUGCUGGCAUAAUGGCUUUAAUCGA
This 620-nucleotide ribosomal RNA is filed under the name uncultured fungus. RNAcentral's name for it is "eukaryotic LSU rRNA". It matches the Rfam family "Eukaryotic large subunit ribosomal RNA", at positions 40 to 647 of the family's 3401-position model. Lineage: Eukaryota; Fungi. The record is from RNAcentral.